UUCAAAAUGACUCUCGGCAACGGAUAUCUCGGCUCUUGCAUCGAUGAAGAACGUAGCGAAAUGCGAUACUUGGUGUGAAUUGCAGAAUCCCGUGAACCAUCGAGUCUUUGAACGCAAGUUGCGCCCGAAGCCAUUAGGUUGAGGGCACGCCUGCCUGGGUGUCACA
This 166-nucleotide ribosomal RNA is filed under the name Indigofera suffruticosa. Its description in RNAcentral is "5.8S ribosomal RNA". It matches the Rfam family "5.8S ribosomal RNA". Rfam says of the family: 5.8S ribosomal RNA (5.8S rRNA) is a component of the large subunit of the eukaryotic ribosome. The record is from RNAcentral. Lineage: Eukaryota; Viridiplantae; Streptophyta; Magnoliopsida; Fabales; Fabaceae.